CUCAAUCUUACACUAAACCCUAAUCCUAAACCUAAGAGACCACCAGGCGCCCCACCCCUUCUCCUACACGAAUCCACCGCGCCAGCCCCUCCAACUCGCCCAAAUCGGGCGAUGUACUCGCCCGUGUUAGCCCAUGGUCCCCUCCUCUCUUCUCUCCUUCUUCUACAUCAUUCAUUCCAUACAAAUCUCAUCAUUUCAAUCCGAUUCACGCGGAUUUCUUCUUUUAUUUCUUUUUGCUUAAACAAAAAUCCGAGUUCUUGAAAUAAAUGUUAGAAAAUGGGAGCCAUUGGAUUAAAUUUUGAUCCAAGACUUCCAUUUUUUGAUUUUUUCUAAAAAUGAGGAUUUUCGGAUCUUGUUUGGGGGGUCCACACGGAUUUUUGAAGGGUUCUGGCGAUUUCUUGCAAAGGAAGGAGAGAAGCUUCGGGAGAGAGCUAUAUAUUUGGGUCUGGAACAGAGAAUAAGGGGGAGAAAAAGGUUAGGAAAAAUUAGGGUUCUAAUAGGAAGUUUCUUCUUCUCUUCUCAUUUUUUUUUGUCCAUUUUCGGUUGAGUUACAAUUCCAAAAAACAAAAAUACAAAAAACAGUUUGAGUUUGAUUUUUGUUCAAGUAUUAUUCCAUUUUCGAAAAUUAGAAACUAACACAAAAAAAAAUAUAUACAUCUCUUUACUGCUUUUUCAAUCGUGGAAUUUCAAUUUUGAGUUUUGGUCUGCGAACAUGGAGACUGCUUGAGGUGCUCGAGUUCGAGUUUCAAAUUGUUGUCCGUUCGUGAAUUUUGGACGAGGUUCCUUGUUCGAAGUCAGCCCUGUUUUCUCACUCGGAUUCUAGACUCGAAGUUUGUAGCUGAAUUUCUUGCUUUCUGUUAUUAAGAAGAGUUUUACAAUUCCAGUGGAAUUUCAAUUUUGAGUUUUGGUCUGCGAACAUGGAGACUGCUUGAGGUGCUCGAGUUCGAGUUUCAAAUUGCUGUCCGUUCGUGAAUUUUGGACGUGGUUCCUUGUUCGAAGUCACCGCUGUUUUCUCACUCGGAUUCCAGACUCAAAGUUUGUAGCUGAAUUUCUUGCUUUCUGUUAUUAAGAAGAGUUUUGCAAUUCCAGCAGUUAUCUCAUCAAUAUCCAAACUCAGUUGUUGAUUUGUUUCGGAAGAAAAAGACUGCUGUUGCUGUGUCAGGCAACAUCAACUC
This is a non-coding RNA of Nicotiana tabacum (common tobacco), 1175 nucleotides long. Lineage: Eukaryota; Viridiplantae; Streptophyta; Magnoliopsida; Solanales; Solanaceae. The record is from RefSeq and is a predicted model, not a curated record.